This is a non-coding RNA of Pelobates cultripes (western spadefoot toad), 96 nucleotides long. Lineage: Eukaryota; Metazoa; Chordata; Amphibia; Anura; Pelobatidae. The record is from the annotation of a GenBank genome assembly.
GUCCCUUUCCUCAGUCCCUGUCCCCUUCCUCAGCCCCUGAGGAGGGGGACAGGGACUGAGGAAGGGGUCUGGAGCUGAGGAGGGGGACAGGGACAG